Long non-coding RNA from Clupea harengus (Atlantic herring), 1050 nucleotides. The record is from Ensembl. Lineage: Eukaryota; Metazoa; Chordata; Actinopteri; Clupeiformes; Clupeidae.
GCUAGCUAUAAGAAGAAGCUAGCGCAGUAUUCUCUGUAUGGACAUCAUGGCUAAACCAAUGACGGUGUUGUCGGAGGAAGCGGAAUGACAUUCAAUUCUCCGUAUUACAAGUUAGUGUACCAGUGUUAUUGUCAGGUCCAAUUCUUACUUAAUGUUUCCUUAACACCCAACUGGGUAAACUACUAACUUAAGACCCAACUAUAAACUACUUUUUUUUUUUCUUUUUAACUGUUAUGAUGUAGUUCACCUUUUUAUUUUUCUGUUUUUUAUAAUGCACUUCACCUUUUCUACUCUUUUAUUGUGUUCGGUUUUGUCUGCUCAUUUGUAAAGCACUUUGAGUUACCAAUGUGUAUGAAUUAUUGUUAUAUAAAUAAACUUGCCUUGCCUUACCUCCUUCCCUUUAUUAACUGGGCUACGAGCAAAACAAUUGGCUGGUAUGUAUGUCCAUCGCUGAGGAAGCUUCCUGAUUGGUUAAAGAGCUUUGAAUAACAGAACGCUGGAGAUGGUUUUCUUCCUGUUCAGGUGUAACAUGUGCGGCACCACAUUAUUUCAUGACCCAUUACCUGAACAGCUGUUCUGAGUCUCUCUAAAUGUAUAACUGAGUCAUCUUCAUCCCCCUCCAGAGCCUGGAACCUCAAACAUCCAUACAGCACUUAGGAUGGUCAUAAUUUAGGAUGCUCAUAAUUUAUUAGGAUGGUCAUAAUUUAGGAUGCUCAUAAUUUAGGAUGCUCAUAAUUUAGAUUGGUCAUAAUUUAGGUUGGUCAUAAUUUAGGAUGGUCAUAAUUUAGAAUGCUCAUAAUUUAGGAUUGUCAUAAUUUAGGAUGGUCGUAAUUUAGGAUGGUCGUAACUUUCAAUGUCUGUCGUAGCUUUAGACCUCCACUGUUGGGAUACGACUCUCUGAGAAAGUUAUAAAAGUGCUACCUGGACCUUUGAGGUUCUAGACCGGGGUACCUUUGAGGUUCUAGACCGAGGUACCUGUUGUUUUAAGCUACCUGGAUCUUUGAGGUUCUAGACCGGGGUACCUGUUGUUUUAAGCUACCUGGAUCUUUG